AGAAGAAGAAGAAGAAGGCGGUGGCUUAUCUAGGAAGGGUGAAGAGGACGGCGGUGAUGGAGGCGGAGCGAGAAAGUUGGCAACGCCACGCAAUUGGCGGGCGAAAGACUCGCCGAUAACAGAAAAAUCCUCUUUAACUCCCCCGCCGCGAAUCGUGGGGCUAUCGUGUGCGUGGCGUUGGGGCGCUGGUGAUGAUGGAAAAGGAGAAGAGUCUGGAUCGUCGUAUUGUAGAGAGUUGAAGAACCAAGACAUUUUGGGUGGAAUUGACUUAGGGAUUUCUCAGAGGGACAUUAGAAGGAGAUUAUGUACGUGAAACUGAAGCUGAAGCAGAAGCAGAAACCAAAGCCUUGCUGUUUUGGUGUCCAGGUGUUU
RNAcentral lists this unclassified non-coding RNA (372 nucleotides) under Hevea brasiliensis (rubber tree). The record is from RNAcentral. Lineage: Eukaryota; Viridiplantae; Streptophyta; Magnoliopsida; Malpighiales; Euphorbiaceae.